This is a long non-coding RNA of Uranotaenia lowii, 432 nucleotides long. RefSeq lists it as uncharacterized. NCBI's taxonomy places the organism in Eukaryota, Metazoa, Arthropoda, Insecta, Diptera, Culicidae. The transcript is spliced from 4 exons. The record is from RefSeq and is a predicted model, not a curated record.
UGACCGCCUGAGGGAGCAGUAGUGCGCGCCGUGUUCUUUAAACUCGAAGGAACAAACAAACAGUGCGACUAAAACAACACGUUAAAAGUGAAGCAAAAUUGUAUCCUAUAAGCUAAAUUAGUACGUACAAUAACGUGUUAAAAGCAAUCGAAAUCGAAGUAAACAACAAAGAGACGAAGCACAUUGUUAAACAACAGGAAAAGGUCCAACAGGGCCUUUUUCUUUUGGUUUCGACUGGUUCUUCGUCCCCAGGUUACCGACAACUCCGGACAGAAAAGCACACACAAGAUCGAACUAGACCCAAAAUUUGACCUCGAGUGUGACAUAACCUAGCCUCGGAACGAAGCGUGUGCAGAAGUCCAAAAACCACACCUUCCGACUGAAACCAGCAGAAUGCCACCUCGGAAACCAAGUUGCCAACAUCGAGUCGAC